RNAcentral lists this ribosomal RNA (483 nucleotides) under uncultured bacterium. RNAcentral's name for it is "partial 16S ribosomal RNA". It matches the Rfam family "Bacterial small subunit ribosomal RNA", at positions 30 to 506 of the family's 1533-position model. The record is from RNAcentral.
AUUGAACGCUGGCGGCAGGCCUAACACAUGCAAGUCGAGCGGAUGAAGGGAGCUUGCUCCUGGAUUCAGCGGCGGACGGGUGAGUAAUGCCUAGGAAUCUGCCUGGUAGUGGGGGAUAACGUCCGGAAACGGGCGCUAAUACCGCAUACGUCCUGAGGGAGAAAGUGGGGGAUCUUCGGACCUCACGCUAUCAGAUGAGCCUAGGUCGGAUUAGCUAGUUGGUGGGGUAAAGGCCUACCAAGGCGACGAUCCGUAACUGGUCUGAGAGGAUGAUCAGUCACACUGGAGCUGAGACACGGUCCAGACUCCGACGGGAGGCAGCAGUGGGGAAUAUUGGAAGAUGGGCGAAAGCCUGAUCCAGCCAUGCCGCGUGGGUGAAGAAGGUCUGCGGAUUGUAAAGCACUUUAAGUUGGGAGGAAGGGCAGUAAGUUAAUACCUUGCUGUUUGGACGUUACCAACAGAAUAAGCACCGGCUAACUUCGU